RNAcentral lists this transfer RNA (73 nucleotides) under Peromyscus furvus. RNAcentral describes it as "tRNA-Arg". It matches the Rfam family "tRNA". From Rfam's summary of the family: Transfer RNA (tRNA) molecules are approximately 80 nucleotides in length. Their secondary structure includes four short double-helical elements and three loops (D, anti-codon, and T loops). Lineage: Eukaryota; Metazoa; Chordata; Mammalia; Rodentia; Cricetidae. The record is from RNAcentral.
ACUGGUAAUUAGUUUAAUUAAAACAAAUGAUUUCGACUCAUUAAAUUAUGACACAUGUCAUAAUUACCAAAAA